RNAcentral lists this ribosomal RNA (497 nucleotides) under uncultured bacterium. RNAcentral's name for it is "partial 16S ribosomal RNA". It matches the Rfam family "Bacterial small subunit ribosomal RNA", at positions 28 to 507 of the family's 1533-position model. The record is from RNAcentral.
GAUGAACGCUGGCGGCGUGCCUAAUACAUGCAAGUCGAGCGAACAGACGAGGAGCUUGCUCCUCUGACGUUAGCGGCGGACGGGUGAGUAACACGUGGAUAACCUACCUAUAAGACUGGGAUAACUUCGGGAAACCGGAGCUAAUACCGGAUAAUAUAUUGAACCGCAUGGUUCAAUAGUGAAAGACGGUUUUGCUGUCACUUAUAGAUGGAUCCGCGCCGCAUUAGCUAGUUGGUAAGGUAACGGCUUACCAAGGCAACGAUGCGUAGCCGACCUGAGAGGGGGAUCGGCCACACGGGAACUGAGACACGGUCCAGACUCCUACGGGAGGCAGCAGUAGGGAAUCUUCCGCAAUGGGCGAAAGCCUGACGGAGCAACGCCGCGUGAGUGAUGAAGGUGUUCGGAUCGUAAUACUCUGUUAUUAGGGAAGAACAAAUGUGUAAGUAACUAUGCACGUCUUGACGGUACCUAAUCAGAAAGCCACGGCUAACUACGUG